UGCCAGCCGCCGCGGUAACACGAACCGUCCAAACGUUAUUCGGUAUCACUGGGCUUAAAGCGUGCGUAGGCGGCCUAGAAGGUGGAGGGUGAAAUCCCACGGCUCAACCGUGGAACUGCCUUCCAAACCACUAGGCUUGAGGAAGAUAGGGGUGAUGGGAACUUAUGGUGGAGCGGUGAAAUGCGUUGAUAUCAUGGGGAACACCGGUGGCGAAAGCGCAUCACUGGAUCUUUUCUGACGCUGAGGCACGAAAGCUAGGGGAGCGAACGGGAUUAGAUA
This 279-nucleotide ribosomal RNA is filed under the name uncultured bacterium. Its description in RNAcentral is "partial 16S ribosomal RNA". It matches the Rfam family "Bacterial small subunit ribosomal RNA", at positions 506 to 784 of the family's 1533-position model. The record is from RNAcentral.